This 440-nucleotide ribosomal RNA is filed under the name uncultured bacterium. RNAcentral describes it as "partial 16S ribosomal RNA". It matches the Rfam family "Bacterial small subunit ribosomal RNA", at positions 338 to 795 of the family's 1533-position model. The record is from RNAcentral.
CCUACGGGAGGCAGCAGUAGGGAAUAUUGCUCAAUGGGGGAAACCCUGAAGCAGCAACGCCGCGUGGAGGAUGAAGGUUUUCGGAUUGUAAACUCCUUUUGUUAGAGAAGAUAAUGACGGUAUCUAACGAAUAAGCAACGGCUAACUCCGUGCCAGCAGCCGCGGUAAUACGGAGGGUGCAAGCGUUACUCGGAAGCACUGGGCGUAAAGAGCGCGUAGGCGGGAUAGCAAGUCAGAUGUGAAAUCCUAGGGCUUAACCAUAGAACUGCAUGUGAAACUGUUAUUCUAGAGUAUGGGAGAGGUAGGUGGAAUUCUUGGUGUAGGGGUAAAAUCCGUAGAGAUCAAGAGGAAUACUCAUUGCGAAGGCGACCUGCUAGAACAUAACUGACGCUGAUGCGCGAAAGCGUGGGGAGCAAACAGGAUUAGAUACCCGGGUAGUC